Dermochelys coriacea (leatherback sea turtle) is the source of this 680-nucleotide long non-coding RNA. RefSeq lists it as uncharacterized. The record is from RefSeq and is a predicted model, not a curated record. Lineage: Eukaryota; Metazoa; Chordata; Testudines; Dermochelyidae. The transcript is spliced from 3 exons.
CGCAAAGGGGGCGGGGAGCCCGGGCUGGGUGCAGGCGGCGCCGCCUCGCCCCUGGGGGACCCGGGCCAGCGCCGGCUCUGCCCGUAUCGCUGGGGAGGCUGAUGGGCCGGGGGUGCCCCGCGCUGCGAUGCUCUGCGCGGGGGCUCUCUAGGCACUGGGCAGCCCCACGUGGCCCUUCCCCGCCAGGUCUGGAGGGAGAAGAAGCGCUGCGGUGUGUCGCUGCUGCUCGCUCCCCUGGCUCUGGGGGUCUGAUGGGCUUGGGGCGCCCGGCGUCCCUUCCCUGCGGCUGGGAGUAAAGCGAGCGGCGCUGCCCUCUGCCCACCCCGCGGCUGCUGGCACCGAAGCGGGGUCAGGGGCUUCUUCUCCCUUGUCUGAGCAGCAGAUUUUUCCCUCCCAGUGGAACCGCAAGCAUUGGCAGUAAGGAUGGAGGUUUUUUUUCUUUAAAGGGACAAUUUUGAACAACAGUAAAAUUAACAAAGGAGGCUGAAAGCGCCGGAAACGCAAGGAUUUCAAUAAAAAUGUACCACCAUACAUACAUUGUAUUGCCCUGAUGAAUUCUGUAGGCUUGAAGCAGCAAGAGCGGUUCCACAGCUUUUGUUUGGGGUGUUUUUGGGCUUUUGCUAUUACUGCCUUGCCCUGUUAACAAAGCAAAGGGGUAAAAAAAGCAACAUAUUAUAAGU